AACCUAGCACACCUGCGGUGUGUACCUGCGGAAGGAUCAUCAAAGAAUUUUCCAAAGAGAAAAUUGAGUUGCCUCUCUUGUAAAAGAGAGAGAAGCGCUCUUUUUUCUCCAAACAAACGAUCACAACUAUUGAAAAAAUAAUUGACUUGGUUGAUGAGAAAUUAUAAGUGUUUGCCUGAUAAUUUGAUGAUUUGGAAACAAGAGAAAGAAAUACAACUUUCAACAAUGGAUCUCAGAUCG
RNAcentral lists this unclassified non-coding RNA (240 nucleotides) under soil metagenome. Its description in RNAcentral is "partial contains 5.8S ribosomal RNA, internal transcribed spacer 2, and large subunit ribosomal RNA". The record is from RNAcentral.